This 500-nucleotide ribosomal RNA is filed under the name uncultured bacterium. RNAcentral's name for it is "partial 16S ribosomal RNA". It matches the Rfam family "Bacterial small subunit ribosomal RNA", at positions 30 to 523 of the family's 1533-position model. The record is from RNAcentral.
AUUGAACGCUGGCGGAAUGCUUUACACAUGCAAGUCGAACGGCAGCACGGACUUCGGUCUGGUGGCGAGUGGCGAACGGGUGAGUAACAUAUCGGAACGUAUCCAAUAAUGGGGGAUAACUAAUCGAAAGGUUGGCUAAUACCGCAUACGCCCUUCGGGGGAGAGCAGGGGAUCUUCGGACCUUGCGUUAAUGGAGCGGCUGAUAUCUGAUUAGCUAGUUGGUGAGGUAAAGGCUCACCAAGGCGACGAUCAGUAGCUGGUCUGAGAGGACGACCAGCCACACUGGAACUGAGACACGGUCCAGACUCCUACGGGAGGCAGCAGUGGGGAAUUUUGGACAAUGGGCGCAAGCCUGAUCCAGCCAUUCCGCGUGAGUGAAGAAGGCCUUCGGGUUGUAAAGCUCUUUCGCAAGGGAAGAAAACUUACUUUCUAAUAAAGAGUGAGGUUGACGGUACCUUGAUAAGAAGCACCGGCUAACUACGUGCCAGCCGCCGCCGUAA